CUUACCAUGCAAGUCGAACGGUGAACACGGUAGCUUGCUCUGUGGGAUCAGUGGCGAACGGGUGAGUAACACGUGAGCAACCUGCCCCUGACUCUGGGAUAAGCGCUGGAAACGGCGUCUAAUACUGGAUACGAGUAGCGGCCGCAUGGUCAGUUACUGGAAAGAUUUUUUGGUUGGGGAUGGGCUCGCGGCCUAUCAGCUUGUUGGUGAGGUAAUGGCUCACCAAGGCGUCGACGGGUAGCCGGCCUGAGAGGGUGACCGGCCACACUGGGACUGAGACACGGCCCAGACUCCUACGGGAGGCAGCAGUGGGGAAUAUUGCACAAUGGGCGGAAGCCUGAUGCAGCAACGCCGCGUGAGGGAUGACGGCCUUCGGGUUGUAAACCUCUUUUAGCAGGGAAGAAGCGAAAGUGACGGUACCUGCAGAAAAAGCGCCGGCUAACUACGUGCCAGCAGCCGCGGUAAUACGUAGGGCGCAAGCGUUAUCCGGAAUUAUUGGGCGUAAAGAGCUCGUAGGCGGUUUGUCGCGUCUGCUGUGAAAUCCCGAGGCUCAACCUCGGGCCUGCAGUGGGUACGGGCAGACUAGAGUGCGGUAGGGGAGAUUGGAAUUCCUGGUGUAGCGGUGGAAUGCGCAGAUAUCAGGAGGAACACCGAUGGCGAAGGCAGAUCUCUGGGCCGUAACUGACGCUGAGGAGCGAAAGGGUGGGGAGCAAACAGGCUUAGAUACCCUGGUAGUCCACCCCGUAAACGUUGGGAACUAGUUGUGGGGUCCAUUCCACGGAUUCCGUGACGCAGCUAACGCAU
This 804-nucleotide ribosomal RNA is filed under the name Microbacterium sp. RNAcentral's name for it is "bacterial SSU rRNA". It matches the Rfam family "Bacterial small subunit ribosomal RNA", at positions 48 to 860 of the family's 1533-position model. Lineage: Bacteria; Bacillati; Actinomycetota; Actinomycetes; Micrococcales; Microbacteriaceae. The record is from RNAcentral.